AAAGCGGCGAACGGGUGAGUAACACGUGGGCAACCCACCCUUGGUAUCCGGAUAGCCCGGGGAAACUCGGAUUAAUACGGAAUGGCCCAACAGCUCUUCGGGGCGGUUGGAAAGGUAGCUUCGGCCUCCGACCAAGGACGGGCCCGCGGUGGAUUAGCUUGUUGGUGAGGUAACGGCCCACCAAGGCGACGAUCCAUAGCUGGUCUGAGAGGACGAUCAGCCACACUGGGACUGAGACACGGCCCAG
Molecule: ribosomal RNA, 247 nt
Filed under: uncultured bacterium
Lineage: Bacteria
Description: partial 16S ribosomal RNA
Rfam family: Bacterial small subunit ribosomal RNA
Source: RNAcentral